This 254-nucleotide ribosomal RNA is filed under the name uncultured bacterium. RNAcentral's name for it is "partial 16S ribosomal RNA". It matches the Rfam family "Bacterial small subunit ribosomal RNA", at positions 524 to 776 of the family's 1533-position model. The record is from RNAcentral.
UACGUAGGGCGCAAGCGUUUGUCCGGAAUUAUUGGGCGUAAAGGGCUCGUAGGCGGUCUGUCGCGUCGGGAGUGAAAACUCAGGGCUUAACCCUGAGCCUGCUUCCGAUACGGGCAGACUAGAGGUAUGCAGGGGAGAACGGAAUUCCUGGUGUAGCGGUGAAAUGCGCAGAUAUCAGGAGGAACACCGGUGGCGAAGGCGGUUCUCUGGGCAUUACCUGACGCUGAGGAGCGAAAGUGUGGGGAGCGAACAGG